AGCACGCUCCAGCCCGGACCCGAGGUGGUCCGCUUCCAAAUUCCCCCGCCGUACCGCCGCGCCGCCCGAGCUAAGUAGCCGACCCCUCUAGCAUUGACUUCCUCUGUGCUAGUACUUCGUAGUUAUCCGGUAUCUUUUUGCUACCGCAUCUCGUGGAUUUUCUCUCACGCUUUCAUCUUCAUCUCAAGUUUGCUUUUUCCGAUUUGCUUCAGGAAUUUUGAUAUUUGAAAUAUGAAACACCUCCUGUCCCUCACCUUCGCCGCCAUGCUGUUGAGCACAGCCACGGCUGGGCCCAUCGGAGCGGGGAUUUGCUAUGCUGGUUGCGCCGGUGUAGUGGUGGCUUGCUUCAGUGCCGCAGGAUUCACUUUCGGUACUGUCCCCGGAGCACAAAUCGCAGCCGUCCCUGCCUUGGCGGCUUGUAAUAGCGCCUUCGGAUCUUGUAUGGCAGCAUGUAGUGCUGCACUUGCACUUCCAAUACCCUAAUUUCAAAGUUUUGGAGUUUGAUUCACUGACGACGACCUUGAUUGUUGGGUCAGGACUUGCAUUUUGUAAAGGAUAUACUAUUUAAUGAAGGCGUCAUCGGCUCUUCUACAUUCUGGAAUAUUUCUCAUAAAAGCUAGAGCUCAGGGGCAGCGGUCGAUCUCCGAAGAAUCUCACCUCAGUAAACAUAGUUGCAUCGGAGUGCCGUGGUUUUGUUUUGCCCGAGUCGGGCGAGAUACGAGUACCAUCCUCGCUAGUUGUUUACAAUUUCUGGACUUGAGUUUAUCUCCUGAUUCUGUUUCAAGUGCUUUUGUGUUUCGAGUGCGGCUUCAAGGACGCUAUCAGUGAACGGUAAGUUCUGUUCCUUCCAAUCGAUGAACUGGGAUUUUAUCUCAAGGAUGAAUGAUGUUUCGAGCAAUUCCGUUGAAAGCGGAGCUGGACAUUACGUCUUUUAGUCGAGAGUGAGAUGGGAUUUUGUUUUUCUUAUUCUUCUUUCUAAGUCAAAAAGGAAUUUGACUUUUGACUAUUUUUUCUAUUUGACUUCACGCCGCGAUGAAAUAUUUGAAAUUAUGUUUUUGUUUGACAAAAUGCUUCCUCCUUGUAGCUUGUAACUUUCCUCACAUAUGAUCUGCUCUAACUAGACUUGCUGUGAAGACGAAAAAUCGAAACGAUUUCUAGGUUGCCACUUCUAGCUCAAAUUUGUCUAAAUUUUAGUUUAAUACAAUGUCAUUCUUACUUUUUAUUUUCAUUUUUCCCCUCAACCCUUUUGUAUCUUAUCUUAAUUUCCAUGUAAAUUUAUUACUACUACUGCCUUCUUUAGAGGUGUAAAUGGCCAUAGAUGUUAAAGCACCGCUUUAAAAUAAAAUUAUAUU
Molecule: long non-coding RNA, 1352 nt
Filed under: Bemisia tabaci
Lineage: Eukaryota; Metazoa; Arthropoda; Insecta; Hemiptera; Aleyrodidae
Description: lncRNA ENSASIAIIG005579
Source: RNAcentral